Molecule: unclassified non-coding RNA, 182 nt
Filed under: Rhizophagus intraradices
Lineage: Eukaryota; Fungi; Glomeromycota; Glomeromycetes; Glomerales; Glomeraceae
Description: partial internal transcribed spacer region
Rfam family: Eukaryotic small subunit ribosomal RNA (bases 1-46)
Source: RNAcentral
AAGUCGUAACAAGGUUUCCGUAGGUGAACCUGCGGAAGGAUCAUUACCAAUCUUAGCGGGCCUGGCCUUUAUUAACCAUGGUUUCGCGAUAAUCGUAUUUAAAACCCACUCUUAUAAAAUGAAUCAUUUUUUUUUUGUAUAAUAAAUAAAGAUCACUUUCAACAACGGAUCUCUUGGUUCUC